RNAcentral lists this ribosomal RNA (305 nucleotides) under uncultured bacterium. RNAcentral's name for it is "bacterial SSU rRNA". It matches the Rfam family "Bacterial small subunit ribosomal RNA", at positions 345 to 647 of the family's 1533-position model. The record is from RNAcentral.
CCUGCAGCAGUGAGGAAUAUUGGUCAAUGGGCGGUAGCCUGAACCAGCCAAGUAGCGCGAAGGAUGAAGGUUCUAUGGAUUGUAAACUUCUUUUAUAAAGGAAUAAAGUGAGGCACGUGUGCCUUUUUGUAUGUACUUUAUGAAUAAGGAUCGGCUAACUCCGUGCCAGCAGCCGCGGUAAUACGGAGGAUCCGAGCGUUAUCCGGAUUUAUUGGGUUUAAAGGGAGCGUAGAUGGGUUGUUAAGUCAGUUGUGAAAGUUUGCGGCUCAACCGUAAAAUUGCAAUUGAUACUGGCGUCCUUGAGU